Saccostrea echinata is the source of this 775-nucleotide long non-coding RNA. RefSeq lists it as uncharacterized. The record is from RefSeq and is a predicted model, not a curated record. Lineage: Eukaryota; Metazoa; Mollusca; Bivalvia; Ostreida; Ostreidae. The transcript has 4 exons.
UUGAAAAGUUUGUUUUCAAAAUAUAGUGUCGUCUCGACUGUCUUGGAAUUACCAACAAGAAAAUGUCUGGCAGAGAAGGUGGCAAAAAGAAACCCCUGAAGAACCCCAAAAAACAACAGGCUGAGUUAGACGAUGAAGAUGUGGCAUAUAAGCAGAAGCAGAAGGAGCAACAGAAAGCAAUGAAAGAAAUGCAGGCAAAAGCUGCUGGAAAAGGCCCUCUAACGGGUGGAGGUAUCAAGAAAUCUGGGAAGAAAUGACAGCACAAUACUGGCCAUGAAGCAGCUGCCAUCAGUGACUUACACAUUCUUCUUCUGGUGAAAGGAUUAGUGAAAAAAGAUGUGACUUUAUGUAUAUAGACUUUUAUAGGCAAAACUGCAUCAAAUAUUGAAAAAUGAAAAAUCUUGCUCUUCAAAAUGUUUCAAAGUUGUAUUGCAUGUGAGAUUUUUUUUCACAUUUUUUUUUCUUUUUUGGGGGGGGGGGGGGGGGGGGAGUGUAAAUUUUUAGUGAAAUAAGGGCCAUUUGUACAUUGAUUUGAAUGUUUUUCUAAUUAUGUCUAUGUAUAAUGUUUGUAAUUUGAAUCAGGUUGAGUGUAAGUACUAAUGGAAUUUAAGAUUUUUUUUGUUUUUGAUAAAAUUUGUGAGUUUUGAUAGGAUGAUUUAUUUUGGUGCAAUUCAGGAAUUAUUGUGUUCAAUAUGAAUUUUUUGCAUUGAGUUGCUUGUAAAUUUGAAAUUCUUCAAGUUCAUUGUUCUUAGUAAAUAAAUAUAAAAAGACUUUA